AUUGAACGCUGGCGGCAGGCUUAACACAUGCAAGUCGAGCGGGGAAAGGUAGCUUGCUACCUGACCUAGCGGCGGACGGGUGAGUAAUGCUUAGGAAUCUGCCUAUUAGUGGGGGACAACAUCUCGAAAGGGAUGCUAAUACCGCAUACGUCCUACGGGAGAAAGCAGGGGACCUUCGGGCCUUGCGCUAAUAGAUGAGCCUAAGUCGGAUUAGCUAGUUGGUGGGGUAAAGGCCUACCAAGGCGACGAUCUGUAGCGGGUCUGAGAGGAUGAUCCGCCACACUGGGACUGAGACACGGCCCAGACUCCUACGGGAGGCAGCAGUGGGGAAUAUUGGACAAUGGGGGGAACCCUGAUCCAGCCAUGCCGCGUGUGUGAAGAAGGCCUUUUGGUUGUAAAGCACUUUAAGCGAGGAGGAGGCUACCGAGAUUAAUACUCUUGGAUAGUGGACGUUACUCGCAGAAUAAGCACCGGCUAACUCUGCG
RNAcentral lists this ribosomal RNA (485 nucleotides) under uncultured bacterium. RNAcentral's name for it is "partial 16S ribosomal RNA". It matches the Rfam family "Bacterial small subunit ribosomal RNA", at positions 30 to 507 of the family's 1533-position model. The record is from RNAcentral.